CGACCCUAGGUCUAGUAGGGUUAGCCACUGAGUUUAAGCAUAUCAAUAAGCGGAGG
RNAcentral lists this ribosomal RNA (56 nucleotides) under Mammillaria candida. Its description in RNAcentral is "partial 26S ribosomal RNA". Lineage: Eukaryota; Viridiplantae; Streptophyta; Magnoliopsida; Caryophyllales; Cactaceae. The record is from RNAcentral.